Molecule: ribosomal RNA, 395 nt
Filed under: uncultured bacterium
Lineage: Bacteria
Description: bacterial SSU rRNA
Rfam family: Bacterial small subunit ribosomal RNA
Source: RNAcentral
GACGAACGCUGGCGGCGUGCUUAACACAUGCAAGUCGAGCGGUAAGGCCCUUUCGGGGGUACGACGAGCGGCGAACGGGUGAGUAACACGUGAGUGACCUGCCCUCAGCUCUGGGAUAAGCCUGGGAAACCGGGUCUAUACUGGAUAUGACUCCAUGACGCAUGUUGUGGGGUGGAAAGCCUUGUGCGGCUGAGGAUGGGCCCCGCGGCCUAUCAGCUUGUUGGUGGGGGNGAUGGCCUACCAAGGCGGACGACGGGUAGCCGGCCCUGAGAGGGCGACCGGCCACACUGGGACUGAGACACGGCCCAGACUCCUACGGGAGGCAGCAGUGGGGAAUCUUGCGCAAUGGGCGAAAGCCUGACGCAGCGACGCCGCGUGAGGGAUGACGGCCUGGU